RNAcentral lists this ribosomal RNA (577 nucleotides) under Blastocystis hominis. Its description in RNAcentral is "SSU rRNA". It matches the Rfam family "Eukaryotic small subunit ribosomal RNA", at positions 1 to 599 of the family's 1831-position model. Lineage: Eukaryota; Bigyra; Opalinata; Blastocystidae. The record is from RNAcentral.
CAUUAGUAUAUGGUUGAUCCUGCCAGUAGUCAUACGAUCGUUUCAUAUAUUAAUCCAUACAUGUGUAAGUAUAAAUAGUUAACUUUGAAAAUUUGAAUGUUUCAUUAUAUCAGUUAUAGUUUUUUAGAUGAAGAAUAAUUAUUGGAUAACUGUAGUAAUUAUAGAUCUAAUACAUGGAUAAAGUGUUGUAGUUUGCAUUUAUUAGAAUGACAACCAUAGGUUUCGGCCUCUCAUGAGUAAUAAUAACUAAUCAUAUCGUAUGGUUAUGUAGCGAUGAUUCUAUUAAUUUUCUAACCUAUCAGCUUUGGAUGGUAGUGUACUGGCCUCGCAUGGCAGUGGCGGGUAGAGAUGAGUUUGGGUUCGAUUUGAGGGAGGGAGCGAGAGGGAUGCCCCACACACGCAAGGAACACAGCAGGCAAGUAAACCAUCCUAUCCCCGGGCGGGGAGGUAGAGACAAUAACUCACAAUGCGCCUCAAGGUUUUGUAAUUGGAAUGAGAACAAUGUACAACCCUUAUCGAUAAACAAUUGGAGGGCAAGUCUGGUGCCAGCAGCCGCGGUAAUCCAGCUCCGAAUGCA